UAACGGCCGCGGUAUCCUAACCGUGCAAAGGUAGCGUAAUCACUUGUCUUCUAAAUAAAGACUAGUAUGAAAGGCAUCACGAGGACUAACCUGUCUCCUCUUUCUAAUCAGUGAACCUAAUCUUCCUGUGAAAAAGCAGGAAUUUUUUUAUAAGACGAGAAGACCCUAUGGAGCUUUAAACAUCAUGACAACUGCUUUUAUACGAACUACUCCGGUCCCUAUGUUUCUCAGCACUAUGUUCAUAUGUUUUUGGUUGGGGUGACCAGGGAGAAAAAAAAAUCCUCCCUAAUGAAAGAGCCCUCCCCUCUAAACAGUAAGCCACAGCUUUAUGAAUCAACAAAUUGACAACAUGACCCAAUAUAUUUGAUUAAUGAACCAAGUUACCCUAGGGAUAACAGCGCAAUCCACUUUGAGAGCCCCUAUCGACAAGUGGGCUUACGACCUCGAUGUUGGAUCAGGGUUUCCAAGAGGUGCAGUCGCUUCUUAAGGUUCGUUUGUUCAACGAUUAAAACCC
This 514-nucleotide ribosomal RNA is filed under the name Pristimantis pariagnomus (Paria dwarf landfrog). Its description in RNAcentral is "partial large subunit ribosomal RNA". It matches the Rfam family "Bacterial large subunit ribosomal RNA", at positions 1925 to 2596 of the family's 2925-position model. The record is from RNAcentral. Lineage: Eukaryota; Metazoa; Chordata; Amphibia; Anura; Strabomantidae.